GAGGCGGAGGUUGCAGUGAGCCAAUAUCACACCAGUGCACUCCAGCCUUGACGACAGAGCAAGACUCUGUCUCAAGAAAAUAUAUUAAGUAAUUCUGAAUUAUUGGAACUUAAGUCUUUACUGUUCUUGAGGUUUUCAGAAUGGUUCCUUGGUAAAUAUAUCUCACCAUGCACUCAGAAAAUAUCAUCCUCUCCUGACAGCCUCUAUUUUAAAUCCACACCAAUUUGUAAGAGUGCCUUUCUAGUCACCAGAAAUAAUAAAAUACUUCAGUUCUUUUUCACUAAAUGAAAUUAUAAUUACUUGCUUUAAAACUACUUAGUUCUAGACUAAAUAUAGGGGAUAAAAAAAAAAAAAUUAAGAGCAAGGAUCCUCAUCCAAUAUUGUGAGCAUUAUUUCUUAGUUUUCCUUCUCAGACCUAGUGGAAUUUUUCUCAGUUUCAACUUGAUGACUCUCUCAAACAGGAGAAUAACCUUUGAGCUCAGUAAGGACAGAGACUGUAUCUUUCUCAUUUUUGUGGCACUACAGCCAAAAACUGACUGGCACAAUAUAGAUGCUCUGUAAAUGUCUGUAGAAACCAAGACAGUUUGGAGUUUGAUCAUCAAGCCGUUCACAAGGAUUGAGCAGAGUAGCUGAUGGUAUUAGUGUAGGGAGAAUUCUAUAUGCAUGUCUAUGAUGUUGUAGAAAGGCCACACUUCAGGUUUGUAGUGUAUCUUAAGAUAGCCAUUUUUAAUUAAAAAUAUCCUGUAGCAUUCUUGCUUUGAGAAAAAAACAGUUGGAAUUCAAGAGCCCAAUAAGAGAAUUAAUAACUUUGCUUUGAAAGUACAUGCAAUUUCAGACCUGUCAAUUUUAACUAUGUCUCUUUAAAUACUUUUUUCUUCUAGAAUCCAACUGAGUAGAUGAAGGUUUUUUUUUUUUUUUUUUAAAUUCCAUUAUAGAAGUAAUAGCCCUGUUUUGGUGUUUUGUAAGCAGGUAAUAUUCUGCUGGUGACUGUCUUCACAGUAAUGCAUUGCUGUGAAUUCUGAAUUCUAUUAUUUUACAUCUAUAGCGCGUAAAGUGUAUUUUUUAUAAACAGCAAACUUCACCUCAUAAAAAUUCAUUACAUAAGGGCAUAAGCAAGUGCUUUUCCUUCUAGUCAUUGGCAGUAAGUGAUUCAUCAGUUUUUCACAGAAAACCAAUUUCAUUGCAGAUGUUCUGUAAUUUCCAGUCCUCCUGAAUUGUGGAGCCAUAUCACACAAUCCCAAUGCAAAGAACAUAAGGACUUUUUAAAGGUCGGUGCUUAGUCUCUUUAAUAGGAUUGAAUAUCACUUGCUGUCUCAUCUGUUUUAUUUUUUAAAAAUUAAGAAAUCAGACUCCUUUGCUUUCCUAUAUAUGUUGAUUCCACACAUGGAUGGAUAACUGGUAGCAAAUUGAAAACCAACAGAUUUCUUCAUAUUUGAAACAAUGACAUUCAGUCUUUUCCCUGGAAUCAAAGCAGAACUAUUAAGAGAAACAAAAAUUUUCCCAAACCUAAAUCCUUUUUCUUCAAUCGUGCUUAUUUUCACUCUUUUUUUUACCCCAGGGUAAGGAAGUCAGGCAGAGGGCUGGGGGAGAUGCAGAAGUGUCCAUCUAUCAAUUAAUGGAGCUCCUGAGAAUUUUCCUCAGAUUCAAACCUCAAGGAGGAAGAGCAACUGGACAGAUCAUAGUUCCUGGGGAUGCACCACAGCCAUACUGCUCCAGGAAGACACAGAUAUGAAUUGAAAGGUCUAAAGAAUCCUUCAUGUGAUAAGCUUGUUGGAGCAGUGCGGACCCCAAUGAGAUCUGCAGUCACUUAGUUCUGCAUGCAACUGAGUAGCAUGUACCCCAAUACAUAUUAGGAAGCCCACUGUGGCCAACCGUCUAAACCAGGUCUUUAAUACAUUUUGUCAGGAACAUGAGUAAUAAAUUUUUCUCCAUGAUUAGUUUUGAACUUAGCAAGGAAAGUAGUACCACGAGAUAAGAUUAUUUUCUUCAAAAAGAAAACAUCUUGCAAGCAUCAACCUUUCCUAUACUCUUAAUAAAACUAUCUGGUUCAGUUUUGA
Non-coding RNA from Chlorocebus sabaeus (green monkey), 2057 nucleotides. The record is from RefSeq and is a predicted model, not a curated record. Lineage: Eukaryota; Metazoa; Chordata; Mammalia; Primates; Cercopithecidae.